Molecule: ribosomal RNA, 515 nt
Filed under: uncultured bacterium
Lineage: Bacteria
Description: partial 16S ribosomal RNA
Rfam family: Bacterial small subunit ribosomal RNA
Source: RNAcentral
GAUGAACGCUGGCGGCGCGCCUAAUACAUGCAAGUCGAGCGAAUGGAUUAAGAGCUUGCUCUUAUGAAGUUAGCGGCGGACGGGUGAGUAACACGUGGGUAACCUGCCCAUAAGACUGGGAUAACUCCGGGAAACCGGGGCUAAUACCGGAUAACAUUUUGAACCGCAUGGUUCGAAAUUGAAAGGCGGCUUCGGCUGUCACUUAUGGAUGGACCCGCGUCGCAUUAGCUAGUUGGUGAGGUAACGGCUCACCAAGGCAACGAUGCGUAGCCGCACUGAGAGGGUGAUCGGACACACUGGGACUGAGACACGGCCCAGACUCCUACGGGAGGCAGCAGUAGGGAAUCUUCCGCAAUGGACGAAAGUCUGACGGAGCAACGCCGCGUGAGUGAUGAAGGCUUUCGGGUCGUAAAACUCUGUUGUUAGGGAAGAACAAGUGCUAGUUGGAUAAGCUGGCACCUUGACGGUACCUAACCAGAAAGCCACGGCUAACUACGUGCCAGCCGCCGCAGUAA